AUGAACGCUGGCGGCGUGCUUAACACAUGCAAGUCGAACGGUGAACACGGAGCUUGCUCUGUGGGAUCAGUGGCGAACGGGUGAGUAACACGUGAGCAACCUGCCCCUGACUCUGGGAUAAGCGCUGGAAACGGCGUCUAAUACUGGAUACGAACCGCGAAGGCAUCUUCAGUGGUUGGAAAGAAUUUCGGUUGGGGAUGGGCUCGCGGCCUAUCAGCUUGUUGGUGAGGUAAUGGCUCACCAAGGCGUCGACGGGUAGCCGGCCUGAGAGGGUGACCGGCCACACUGGGACUGAGACACGGCCCAGACUCCUACGGGAGGCAGCAGUGGGGAAUAUUGCACAAUGGGCGCAAGCCUGAUGCAGCAACGCCGCGUGAGGGAUGACGGCCUUCGGGUUGUAAACCUCUUUUAGCAGGGAAGAAGCGAAAGUGACGGUACCUGCAGAAAAAGCGCCGGCUAACUACGUGCCAGCAGCCGCGGUAAUACGUAGGGCGCAAGCGUUAUCCGGAAUUAUUGGGCGUAAAGAGCUCGUAGGCGGUUUGUCGCGUCUGCUGUGAAAUCCCGAGGCUCAACCUCGGGCCUGCAGUGGGUACGGGCAGACUAGAGUGCGGUAGGGGAGAUUGGAAUUCCUGGUGUAGCGGUGGAAUGCGCAGAUAUCAGGAGGAACACCGAUGGCGAAGGCAGAUCUCUGGGCCGUAACUGACGCUGAGGAGCGAAAGGGUGGGGAGCAAACAGGCUUAGAUACCCUGGUAGUCCACCCCGUAAACGUUGGGAACUAGUUGUGGGGUCCAUUCCACGGAUUCCGUGACGCAGCUAA
RNAcentral lists this ribosomal RNA (817 nucleotides) under bacterium. RNAcentral describes it as "bacterial SSU rRNA". It matches the Rfam family "Bacterial small subunit ribosomal RNA", at positions 29 to 855 of the family's 1533-position model. The record is from RNAcentral.